Anas platyrhynchos (mallard) is the source of this 3714-nucleotide long non-coding RNA. RefSeq lists it as uncharacterized. The record is from RefSeq and is a predicted model, not a curated record. NCBI's taxonomy places the organism in Eukaryota, Metazoa, Chordata, Aves, Anseriformes, Anatidae.
GAUACAGGGCUGAAAACAAAGACAUCCAAACCUUGAGCCAUUUAGAAGAGGAAGAAGCCAAAAUCUCUGCCAGAGGUUUGACUGCUGGGUUUACUCAUGGCUUCAGGUUGGUUUCACGGGGCUUGGCCUGUUGGGAGGAUUUUCUGAGAAACAUCUGAAUAGCUGAUGGCUGAAUAGCUUCAGCGCUGACCCCCUGACCUGAGGGAGGUUUGCUGCUCACAGUAUUCCUGGAAUGACACAGGGGCUCCGUCUGGAGUCAGGCCAGGACAUUAAAUGAAGCUGCUUUUGUGGCACUUCUGCUUCUGAUGGCCGGAGGACAGACCUCCUGCAGGGAGAUGCUGUAUGUCUCUGCAGCGUUUGACUCUGUUGACCAUGACCUCAUGCUGGCCCUUGUUGAGGAGGGGGGUUGCAGACUGAUGGGGAAGGUAUGGAGGGACAUACCCUGUUCAUAGUGAUGUGAACAUGCACCCCCACUGCUAACUGUGGUGCUGUCCCACAGGGAUGUAUGCUUUUCCUUUUUCUGCUGACCCACUUGAGCACAAAGUCAUCAGGGUGUGAGAAACACCGAUGCAGUCCUAACCGCUUCAAGAGCACAAGCUCACUGUGCCAUAUCUUCCCCUCAAGUUUUAAGAGGACACAUUGCCAAGUUCAAAGUCUGGGACCUUGAAAACCUCAGUAGCCUUGAUCAAAGCAUCUAAAAAAGUCAACUUAUCAACACCACCUGAAUUAUAAGAGGAUCUCUCCACUUCCCACGAGAGCAAAAAGCAAGAUGGGGAAAAGGUGGCUCUCUGAUAUCCUCCCCCAGAUGUUUAAGCACUGGCCAGCAUCCAUCUGAAGUGUGCAAAAAAAUCUUCUCACUUGGGACAGUUAGGAUUUUCCUUGCAGAGCUGCCCAGCAUCUUCCAAUUGCUUUGUACCUUACAAGAGCAGGGGAUGUAAGUGCCUCUGAAAAAUAGGUCCCUCGUGACUACAGCAAGGUAGAGCAGUGUUUCAUUAACUGCAUUGAGACUUCAGGGCCUUCAUGGGUUUCUACAUCACACAUGCUGGCCCCAAAGUAAUGGCCCAAUAGCAUGGUUAUUGAUUCAGUAUAUAAUCUUUGUCUCACCCCCCAUCUUUUUAUGCCCCCCUAUGUAACUCUUAUCUUCAAUUACAUGCAUCUUUAAGCCAUACACUUUCUAGAGAGUGUUAAAAUUAUCAAGUGAAUUCAGAAUAAGGAGGUGAAAAGAAGCCUUCUGUGACACUAGUAGGGCUGGCAGUACUGAGGGGAGAUACAAUCCCCGGUAUUCUUUGGUAUCGAAGUUAAUUGCAGGCAUUGAGGGUUUAAAGACCUUGUGUUAUUGAUGGGGGUGUGUUAGCAACAGGAGGGAUUGACUCUAACAUUAAACUGGAAUUUAGCAUGUACAGUAGGCUGUCAAGAGAAAGAAGUAAGAACAAAGGAGACUGUUAUUAUCUUUUAUUAUUAUCUUUUAAUACCCCCCCCCAUUUUCCUUCUGUAUGCUCUUUCUCUCAGCCUUCUCUCUUUCAAUAAUUACAAUAAUCAACUUACAAUGAUAACAGAAAUAAUCUCCCGCAAGAUAGCUAAACAAACCACAUGUUAUCUGUACUGAACUGUGCUCACUUACUGUAGGUAUAUCACUUAUGGAAAAGCCAAUAAAAUUUUAAUUAGAAAAGCACGUAGGUUGUCAGUUAAGAUGCAAAAGGGUGUGCAAAUAAAUGUAAAGCGGCCCAUAAAUUGCUUGGUAUUUGAUAGAACAGGUAGGAGGGCAAACCCACCCCAAACAAAACAAAACCAAGCUAAACCCUUGGGGUUGGAGGAGCUCUAUUUAUGUUGCUCUAUACAGAGCACUAAUUGCCAGGGAAUUCAAAAGAAGGGGGAGGGGAGAAUCCUCCCCUGAGCGACAAUCACAUCCACCCACUUCCACCAGCGCUGGUAGCAAGUGAGCAGAAGUUAAUUAAAGAUUUUGCAUCUCACAACCGCAGCGCUGGAUUGAUAGCUCUGGAACCUGAGAUAAACUAAAGCUCUCCCACACUGCAUCGCUAAUACGCCUUCAACCUCGCCCAGGAGGCACCACCUCGAGGGAUUAGAUGUUUGGUUUGCUUGGUGUACUCAGGGCCUGGCCUCUGCUAAGACUGAAGGAGGACGGAUGGAUGCCAACUGGAAGGUGGGUGCUCGUCUCACAGGAGCAGGUCUGUAGGUAAUUAGCUAGGCAGGAGUGACAGUGGCUUGAGAAGACUCCAGUAUCUCCAUGCAAGUUGUUCUAAACACUCAGAGCAUAUCACAUAAAGGCUAAUUGGCACAGAAACCACAAAAGAAAGAAUUUCAGCACAAGCGCCGUGAAUGUGAAACAGUUCAACAGCUGACCAAAGCGAAGGCUUUGCUGGAGUCAAUUGCAAUAUGAAGAAAGUCUUCUACACCAGGCAGUGCCCUGAGUUUGCCUUGCUCCCUGUAGUCUUUCUCUCUCAUGAUUCUGGUGUGAGAUCUGCCUCAGUCUGCUUCAACUGUUACUUUGAAGACAGAAGCACAUAUCCUUCACCCAGACUUCUCCUCCAAGCUCCGUUGCUGCAGGAUAUCACUGGUAGGAAAUUUCAGCAGUGAUGGGAAGAUCAGCAUGGGUCAGUGGUUAUGCUUUGCACAGUUCUCCCUCGGUGAGUGAGCAACUGCCUCCUGGGAGUGUAUUCUAGUGCAGAGAGAUCCCUUUGGAUAACAGCACGAUAAAUGCAUUUGUGGUGUGAGGACAUCCUGAGACAGCAUCUGAAAUUCCUUUUUCUUGAUUGCUUCAGGUGUAAUGGGUGGAAAUUCCCUGCACAGACUGCCAAAGACUGCACUUUUGUGUGGAGAGAAGCAAGGCCAUGAGGUGGAAGGACUGAUUUCCUCUGGGAGCACAUUGCAGUGGUACACCCGCUGUCAUAGGACACUGCAUUUUGAAGCUAUUAUAAAUAGAUAAUGCUUACAUAUUGCUCUUUACAUUUACAGUGACCCACAGGCCAUACCUAAUUACACAAUUGCAGCAGCCUUGCAAGGCAGGGCAGUUAGGAUCAUCUUCCUUUAGAAACGAAAUGGAGGCAAUGGUAUUAAAAUGCAUGACCAGGGUUAGAGAUGAGGGGUCAGUGAGAAAGCCAAGGUUGAAACAUCAGACUUACAUAUUCCCAGUCCUGUGCUUAACAUGUGUCUCAGGCAAAGAAAUUGAUGUUAAUGAUGUACUAACCCCUUUCAUCUGAAGAUCUCAAAAUGUUUUAUGUCCUGAUUUGCUUUCCCCAUGCAGCUUUAUUGUAGGCUUAUGGUUGUCCAGAGGGGAAAAGUGCAGGCUUCUCUGUGCUGUGUGUGUAUCCGUAUGGCCUCCAGCUCCCCGCAGGGAGGAGGUGGCAGGGGUUAGUCACUGCUCUCACUGGGGAGGGAGCUGGGCAACUGCGACAAAGGAACAACAGAGCCAUUGGAGCCAUUGAGGGAAGGUGGGCUGUAAGAAGGAGGCUGGGUAUGGGUUGGUUGGCAGCAUGUAGCAUGACAGGGGCUCAUAUGACAGCCCCUGGGCAGGGCUGGAGCUAGGCCAUGUGGUAUGGGGUCAUUAAGAUGCAAAGGGUGUCUGGAGACAUUGCAGGAGGGUCCGUGCAGGGAGGAGACUGCAGGACACAAGGUAGAUAGGCACUCUUCAGGGAGAGCUGGAUACAGGAGUUGGAUAAGAGGAAAAUAAAAGAUCAUCCUCGUUGUUUUCCUUCA